GAAGCAGCCAUCAUUUAAAGAAAGCGUAAUAGCUCACUGGUCGAGUCGGCCUGCGCGGAAGAUGUAACGGGGCUAAACCAUGCACCGAAGCUGCGGCAGCGACACUAUGUGUUGUUGGGUAGGGGAGCGUUCUGUAAGCCUGCGAAGGUGUACUGUGAGGUAUGCUGGAGGUAUCAGAAGUGCGAAUGCUGACAUAAGUAACGAUAAAGCGGGUGAAAAGCCCGCUCGCCGGAAGACCAAGGGUUCCUGUCCAACGUUAAUCGGGGCAGGGUGAGUCGACCCCUAAGGCGAGGCCGAAAGGCGUAGUCGAUGGGAAACAGGUUAAUAUUCCUGUACUUGGUGUUACUGCGAAGGGGGGACGGAGAAGGCUAUGUUGGCCGGGCGACGGUUGUCCCGGUUUAAGCGUGUAGGCUGGUUUUCCAGGCAAAUCCGGAAAAUCAAGGCUGAGGCGUGAUGACGAGGCACUACGGUGCUGAAGCAACAAAUGCCCUGCUUCCAGGAAAAGCCUCUAAGCAUCAGGUAACAUCAAAUCGUACCCCAAACCGACACAGGUGGUCAGGUAGAGAAUACCAAGGCGCUUGAGAGAACUCGGGUGAAGGAACUAGGCAAAAUGGUGCCGUAACU
RNAcentral lists this ribosomal RNA (624 nucleotides) under Escherichia coli. RNAcentral's name for it is "partial 23S ribosomal RNA". It matches the Rfam family "Bacterial large subunit ribosomal RNA", at positions 1109 to 1735 of the family's 2925-position model. Lineage: Bacteria; Pseudomonadati; Pseudomonadota; Gammaproteobacteria; Enterobacterales; Enterobacteriaceae. The record is from RNAcentral.